Molecule: non-coding RNA, 3202 nt
Organism: Vicugna pacos (alpaca)
Lineage: Eukaryota; Metazoa; Chordata; Mammalia; Artiodactyla; Camelidae
Source: RefSeq, a predicted model, not a curated record
CUCCAGCCCAGACCCGCAAAGGGCUGUGUCCAGGCCAGACCAGAGCAGGACCAGUGGAGGACAUGGGGAUCCCCCCCACAGCACGGCCCCAGGCACACCCUUCCCUGGGGUGUCUCAGGUGCAGACGAGCAGCCGUGACGCACAGCAGAGUCCCAGACGCUGAGCUGCGGAAGGUGACCUGGGGGCCGAGGAGGGACACACUGUGUGUGCAUGUGCGUCAGCGUGUGUGCAGGUCUGCACCCUGGUGUGGACACACACGUCUGUGUCCACACACGUCUGUGUGUGUGAGGUCACAGGAGCUAUUCCUGAGUGACACAGAAGUGAGGCUUCAGCGGGUGAGCCCAGGGCCUGGAGGAGAGGAUGUGCUCCGAACCCCGUGGCGCCCUCUCCAAGCCUCUUACCCGGCCUCACGUGGAGCCGGGCCCUCCCUCGUUCCCAGCAGGUGGCUGGAGAGACCGCAGGACCAUGGCCGCAAGGCUGGCUGCCCUGUCACCGUGGGAUACCUGACGGUCCCACGUCGCCGCCUGCCCUCCCUGGAGCUUGGGCUCCUCGGGGGGUCAGGUCCGUGCUUCUCCCUGCCGGCCAAGGCCCCCGAGGCUGCAGGGGCCGGGGCAGACCUUCAGAGUCGUCCUGGGUUGCGGUGAGGGUCCACGGCUUUCCUCCCUCGUGUCAGUUGUCGCUGGGUGCAGGAUGCCCUGAGGAGAGGGUGUGAUUUGGGGUGAGGCUGUCAGUUCAAGACUGACCACAGCCCUUUAAAUCCACACACCAAACGUGCUAAGAGUUUCUAGCAAAACCCCGCGUGGGUGCUGAUUGCUCUCCAGCCGCCUGCUCCUGUGCUCGCCCCCGCCCCAGUGCCUCUCGAGGUCCCAGGGGGCAGACGCCACCCGAGAGAUGUGUGUCCACGUGGGUCUCCAGGCUCCUGCCUCCUCUGCCCUUCGCUCAGGAGAAGCCUAGCCUCAGCGCCCCGCUGCCCGCACCUUAGCCGUGAGGGCCUCCUUCCCACCCCAGUCGCUGGCCCUUUGCCUCACGCUUGGGGUGGGGGAGGCUGGACGCAGUCUUUCUUUUCACCCCGCGAAGCCCAUCCCGCCCUGCGGGCUUCCUCUUCUCCUUCGGGCUUGUCAGCUCCCGGUGCCUCGAGGUGAGUGAAUGAAGGCUCCUUCCCCUGAGCGGGCAGGGCUGGGGGCACCCUGGUGUCUCAUGGAAGGAGGUGCCAGGCCCGGUGUCUGCACAGUGGGAGGGGUGCCCAGGGCCCUGACCCCAGCUGUGUCAGCGAGUAGGAAGCGUGAGUGGGCCGUGGGCCACGUCAGCAGGCUUCAGAACCUCUUUCUUCACCUGUGAAACAGGAGCCGGGACUUCGGUCCACCCCCUCAGGGCGCGUGAGCCUGAAAGAGGGGCCCCAAGAGCUUGGGUCAGAGGCUCUGCAAGACCCAGAUUGACAAUUGUGGCCCAUUCUCGGGAGUCCUGGGGCUAGUGGAGGGAGCUGGUCGGCCUCAGGGAGGCGCUCUUUGCUCCAGGCAUCCUGCCUCCAGGAGAGCUGCUCACCUGUCCUCUUCCCAACGGUGAAGGUCACAGGUCCCCGGGGACGCAGAGGCGCCUUCUGGGCAGCACGCUGUGUGCGGACUCCCCCUGCUGCUGUGUGACUUGGGAGGAGAGGGCGUAUGGCCCUCACUCAGGGCCGCCCAGGUGUCGGGGCCUGGGCCCUGUGGGUGUGAGGGCCUUCUGGCUUUGUGCUGCGAAGAUGUGCUGUGGAGGAUGGUCUGUCCUCGCACAUGUCCGGUGAGAGGGAGACCUUGGCUCCAGGAACGCCAGCCUGGAGCUAGUGGCCCGUGACCUGGGCUGUGGAGUGGGGAACGCCGACCAGCAGUGGUCCCAGCCUCCCGUUCCCACUGGGACAGCCCCACCCACAGGGGUUCAACCUUGGGCUCCAGCUGCAGUUUCAUCCAAACUGAAGGCAGCUUCCUGCUGGUUCAGCCAGAGGCAUCCCCACCUGACAUGGUGGGGUCUGCCCAGACCCAGCUCCCUUGUGGACAACCCCUGCACCGGGUUCACUCUGAUGGCCGCCAGCUGGGCCAUCUGUCCUGGACCCCUGGACGCCGAGUGGCAUGUGCCCGUGUGCCAGGGUGGAAGGGACGAGAUGGAGAACAUGCUUGGACGCUGCCUGUGGCUCUGGCCUCUGUGGCCACACCGAGGGGCCUGGAGGGGCCGAGCUUGGCAGGCAUCCUCGGGCAGAGGCAGGGACUUGCCACAGCCUGUUCCUGUGUCAGACAACUUAAAAGGUGCACCUGGCUCCUCCUACUCCCUCCUGGGGCCCCGCUGUGGUGGUGUGAUGGCUGCCAGGGCCCCACAGGGUGAGGACAGUCGCUGGAGCAUCACCUCCCCGAGGGCACUGGCGAGGUCAGGACCUGCCCAGACAGCCCUGGAGCCUCCUCCAGGGCAGCAAGGGCCACGAGGGCGUGUGGCAACAGUGCUGUCCUUUCCCAAGGUGGUGGGCAGGCGGCAGGCGGCCCUCGGGGUGGACAGGCGUGGCUGGCAGCCCCGCUCUGAGGGCUCACGGCCCAGGUUGAACCCCUGCAGGUGGGGCUGUCCCAGUGGGAACGGGAGUGGGGGUGGGAUGUGGCCUGAGUGACAGCCCAGAACCACAGCCACUGCGUGUCCCAGACCUACAUGCUGCUGGCUCCAGGGGAAGGGACAGGUCCUGGACAACGGGCGGCAUGGGAGGGUACCCUGCCUGCCGGCCUCAGGCGGACCCCGUCUCCAGACAAGGAAGGAGACAGAAAUAACUUAUGCCAUGAACGAAACGGGAGCACUGACGAGCGUUUUCUGGCCCGACCCGCCGCUGCCCAGGCCGCUGCGCCCCGCCACCACGGAGGCGGGCCUGCCGAGGGAGGGGGACACAUGGUCAGCUUUGGGACAGUGACAGCGGGGCCGAGGCCAGGAGCAGACCAGCUCCACCCCGAGUGGCUGGACACUGGGCUUUCUUCUGGUUGUUACCACAGGGAGAUGUCGCAGUGACUGAGGCUCGUGGCCGCCUCGGCCCUGCACACAGCGAGACCCUGCUCAUUCCUGCGAUUGUUCACUUCUGAUUGUUUUUUAAAAAAUAUAAUUUUGUAAACGUCCCAUAAAAAUACUAUUGUUCCCAGUCAAACACGGAGAUUGCAGCAUGAAGAGUGACUGCUUUAUCUUUGUUCUAAAAAUGUGAGAA